This 488-nucleotide ribosomal RNA is filed under the name uncultured bacterium. RNAcentral's name for it is "SSU rRNA". It matches the Rfam family "Bacterial small subunit ribosomal RNA", at positions 26 to 518 of the family's 1533-position model. The record is from RNAcentral.
AGGACGAACGCUGGCGGCGUGCCUAACACAUGCAAGUGGAGCGACGAACCGGGCUUCGGCCCGGGGCAAAGCCGCGAACGGGUGAGUAACACGUGGGUAACCUGCCCUGAUGAUUGGGACAACCCGAGGAAACUCGGGCUAAUACCGAAUGUGCCCUCUGGCCUCAAGGCCGCUGGGGAAAGGAAGCUUCGGCCUCCGCAUCGGGAUGGGCCCGCGGCCCAUUAGCUUGUUGGUGGGGUAAUGGCCCACCAAGGCGACGAUGGGUAGCUGGUCUGAGAGGACGAUCAGCCACACUGGGACUGAGACACGGCCCAGACUCCUACGGGAGGCAGCAGUGGGGAAUAUUGCGCAAUGGGCGAAAGCCUGACGCAGCGACGCCGCGUGGGGGAUGGAAGGCCUUCGGAUUCGUAAACCCCUUCCAGCAGGGACGAAGCGAAAGUGACGGUACCUGCAGAAGAAGUGCCGGCUAACUACGUGCCAGCAGCCGC